Long non-coding RNA from Amaranthus tricolor (Joseph's coat), 1362 nucleotides. RefSeq lists it as uncharacterized. NCBI's taxonomy places the organism in Eukaryota, Viridiplantae, Streptophyta, Magnoliopsida, Caryophyllales, Amaranthaceae. The record is from RefSeq and is a predicted model, not a curated record. The transcript has 4 exons.
UCGCAUAAACCCUUAUCUUCCUCCUUUUCUCUCGCCAUUCCCUCUGAAAAUGGCAGAACCACACUGAAAUUCUUCAACUAAUAGUCGAUCUCCUUCCCUUCACGACAUUCCUCUUUGAAUCUUCAAACCCUUAUUUCUCUAAAUUUCUAUGAAGAAAACGUCAAUGGUGCUAGGGCACGAACCAUUCUUCUCCUUCCUCGCUAUCGAAUCAGUUUGUAUUCCUCUCAGUAGUGCCACAAAAUACUUCUUCCUUGCAUUCUAUUGUCUGAUUUUCGAAGGUGAACAAGGAUUCUUGCCCUUGAUUUUCGUUGAAACAAGAUUCGAAAUCUUCUUCCCUCUGCGAAAUUCUUCUCUCUUUCGUGAUUUCUUUCAAGAAGCAAAGCCCUAAUCUAUCUUCUUCAUUUGAUUUUUGAAGCAACGGCAGCGACAAGCAACAUCCGUUCAUCGGUGACCAGCCUUGAUUCUUCCAUGUUGUGAGUUUCGAAAGAAGCAAACCGCAGAACCUUGUUCCCAAGUCUGAUUUCUGAGUGACAUUACCUUCUUUGGGUUUCAAUUGCCGCCAUUUUAUUGAGAAAACGAUUUCUCUGCGCGCUCCUUCUAGCUGUUAGCUGCGAAUCGAUCACGGCUCUUUGAAGCGUCUUGUUGUUUGAUCACAGAUUGGAACCGGUCGGGAACGAUAGGUUAACGGUGUAGAAUAGCGUUCCAAGGAUGUAUAUUGAGCUGAGCACGUAGGAAUUUGUAGAUUUGUAUUAGAAUUUUGGAUAAAUGUAUAUUUGAUUUGGUUGUGUUGGUUAUAUCAAACUUGUAGAGAAUUGUAUGGUCAUCUUGUGUUUUAGUUAGAUGUUUGGUUUGAGAAUUAGCUGAGUUAGUUACGUUAAAGAGCUGGUGACCCUUUUGCUCAAGUUUUGGAAGUGUGAUAUAAGUUUCUUGGGAAAUGAACUCCGUGAUGACCUUGUUUACUCAGUCAACGGUAAGUCGGGUUGUUACAGGAUAUGAAAGAUAUCAACAGGAGAAAUAAGGCUUUUAUGAAAUUGAAAUUGGUUAAUUUUCUCAACAAUGCAUAAAUGCAUUGGAAUUGAUUUAUUGAUGCACUAUUGAAAUUGGUCGAUGCAAUCAACCUUACAAUAAUCAGCCUAAUGUAUCUAGAAGUAAGAGGAGAGAUAAAAUGGUGAAUGAAGAUUGAAGGUCAGACAAAGAUAAAAAAGAAUAUUUGCAUUUGUAAUGCAAACAACUUCAUUUUUGCAAUCAUUUGACAUUUGCUUUAAGUUUAUACUCUAAAUUUCUUGAUUUGUUUAUUUAAAUAGACACAAUUACUUUAAAUAUUUUUUUAUUCAUAAAAAAGUGUCAAUUGCAAUUUUAUGG